UUCAAAGCCGAAACACUUCAUGACGAUUAAAACAACGGGAAAAGGAGACCGCUUGUUACCGUCAUGGGGUAAUUUCAGUUACCAACCAUAACAAGACGAUUUUUAAAUAGUGCAUGUAAUGGGCCGUUGUUGCGAUUGUAUUCAUAAUGACAAAUUAAUUAGUGAGUUCCAGUUCGUCUGCUAAAUUAAAGUUAUGAGUUCAAAAGUUGUUUUUGCUAUCGUUUGCCUUACAUCCGUCCACCUGGCAAGUGAGACCGUUGCUGCGUCAGAGUCACGCACUUUCUCCAUUGACUACAAGAACAACUGCUUUAUAAAAGAUGGAAAGCCGUUCCAGUACGUCUCUGGAAGCAUCCACUACUCUCGCAUCCCACGGUACUACUGGAAGGAUCGACUCCUCAAGAUGUACAUGGCUGGACUGAACGCCAUUCAAGUCUACGUGCCCUGGAACUUCCACGAGCCAGUGCAGGGUGUGUACAACUUCGAAGGGGGUCGGGACCUGGAGCACUUCCUGGGCCUAGCCAAUGAGACAGGCCUGCUGGUCAUCCUGCGUCCCGGGCCGUACAUCUGUGCCGAGUGGGAGAUGGGUGGUCUGCCUGCGUGGUUACUGGAGAAGCCAAACAUUAUGCUGCGGACAGCUGAUACAGAUUACCUGCAGGCGGUAAGCAGCUGGUUUGCCAUGCUGCUGCCCAGGAUGGAGCGGUGGCUGUACAGCCAAGGGGGCAACAUCAUAUCUGUGCAGGUGGAGAACGAGUACGGAAGCUACUUCGCCUGCGACUACAACUACCUGCGCCACCUGCGCACACUCGUCCAGAACUUCCUGGGCGAGGACACGGUUCUCUUCACCACCGACGGGAACACGGACCGCGAGAUGGUCUGCGGAACCCUGCAGGGCCUUUACGCCACCAUUGACUUUGGCACUGACACCAACAUCAGCACUGCUUUCGAUCGCCAGAGGAGGUUUGAACCCAGAGGGCCGUUGGUGAACUCUGAGUUCUACACAGGCUGGCUAGACCACUGGGGUGACCGGCACGCCUCCGUGGACGCGCAGAAGGUCAGCAAGAUGCUGGGGGAGAUGCUCGCCAUGGGGGCCAACGUCAACAUGUACAUGUUUGAAGGAGGAACAAAUUUUGGCUACUGGAACGGUGCGGACCACGACUCCAGGUACCGCUCAGUGGUGACGAGUUACGACUACAACGCCCCUCUGAACGAAGCAGGAGACCCCACAGAGAAGCUACUGGUCAUCAGAGACGUCAUCAGUAAGGUAGAUAUCAGAGACGUUGACGUUGCCAGUAAGGUAGAUAUCGGAGACGUCAUCAGUAAGGUAGAUAUCGGAAACGUCGUCAGUAAGGUAGAUAUCGGAGACGUCAUCAGUAAGGUAGAUAUCGGAGACGUCAUCAGUAAGGUAGAUAUCGGAGACGUUGCCAGUAAGGUAAAUAUCGGAGACGUUGUCAGUAAGGUAGAUAUCAGAGACGUCAUCAGUAAGGUAGAUAUCGGAGACGUUGACGUUGCCAGUAAGGUAGAUAUCGGAGACGUCAUCAGUAAGGUAGAUAUUGGAGACGUUGCCAGUAAGGUAAAUAUCGGAGACGUUGUCAGUAAGGUAGUUAUUGGAGACGUUGCCAGUAAGGUAGAUAUCGGAGACGUCAUCAGUAAGGUAGAUAUCGGAAACGUCGUCAGUAAGGUAGAUAUUGGAGACGUCGUCAGUAAAGUAGAUAUCGGAGACGUCAUCAGUAAGGUAGAUAUCGGAGACGUCAUCAGUAAGGUAGAUAUCGGAAACGUCGUCAGUAAGGUAGAUAUCGGAAACGUCGUCAGUAAGGUAGAUAUUGGAGACGUCGUCAGUAAGAUAGAUAUCGGAGACGUCAUCAGUAAGGUAGAUAUCGGAGACAUUGACGUUGCCAGUAAGGUAGAUAUCGGAGACGUUGCCAGUAAGGUAAAUAUCGGAGACGUUGUCAGUAAGGUAGUUAUUGGAGACGUUGCCAGUAAGGUAGAUAUCGGAGACGUCAUCAGUAAGGUAGAUAUCGGAAACGUCGUCAGUAAGGUAGAUAUUGGAGACGUCGUCAGUAAAGUAGAUAUCGGAGACGUCGCCAGUAAGGUAGAUAUCAGAGACGUCAUCAGUAAGUUUCGGAAGGUCCCUGAAGGUCCCAUGCCUCCAGCCACGCCCAAGAUGGAGUACGGCUUUGUGACGCUUCAGAGGGUGGGCAACACCAGUGGCCUGCUGGACGUCUUGACCCCUCAGGGCCCUGUGCAGUCCCACCAACCCCUCACCUUCGAGGAGAUCAAACACCUUUAUGGAUUUGUGCUGUAUCGAACCAAGCUGCCGAGGAGCAUUCCAGACGGCCAACCUCUCAUCUCGCCUCUGAAUGGCAUCCACGACCGCGCUUACGUCUCCGUCAACGGGGUGUACCAGGGCCUGCUGCAGCGAGACACGGAGCUGGUCAUGAACGUGACUGGUCAGGAGGGAGACCUGCUGGACGUCCUGGUGGAGAACAUGGGGCGGGUCAACUUCGGCAGCAAGAUCCACGACAACAAGGGCAUCCUGGGUGAGCUCAUCCUGGGAAGGAACGUGCUCACCGAUUGGCUGAUCUUCCCUCUGGACAUCGACGGCGCCAUCUCUAGCGGUUGGCCCCACACGGUGCUCCGAGGCUGGCCCCAUCCCCCAGAGACGGGGCCGGGCGAUGGGACGGGACCCACCGUCUACAUGGGCACUCUGCCGCCGAAUGGCCUGGCUUGGGACACCUACCUCAAACUCACCGGCUGGACCAAGGGUCAGGUGUGGAUUAACGGGGUGAAUCUGGGCCGGUACUGGCCCACGCGUGGUCCGCAGCAGACGCUGUACGUGCCGGGGCCGCUGCUUAGCCAGUCCCGACCCAACAACAUCACAGUGCUGGAGCUGGAGGCGGCACCUGCCCACCCGCGAGUGCUCUUCAUGGACCGCCCGCAACUCAACACCACACCUGGGAAACCAUGACACACACACACACACACACCGACCGCCCGCAACUCAACACCACACCUGGGAAACCAUGACCAGACACACACACACACACACACACAAAACAGACAAACUUUACGUGGACCGCCCGCAACUCAACACCACUGAGUGGAAUCAUACACACACACUCUUUAUACACACACACAAUCUUUAUUCACACACACACUCUUUUCAUGGACCACUCACAACUUGCCAUAGAGGUGCCAUGGCUACAAUGCCAUAAAGGUCAAACACACACACACACACACUUUGCUGCUGCUGCACAACUGAUCAUUCAGCAUGUUUGCUUCCCUACCUGACUGGAGGUAGAGGGAGAAAUUCAACCCCAAACUCUCCACCUUCCCCAGAUCUUAGCCAAUCACCACCUUCCCCAGAUCUUAGCCAAUCAUCACCGUGCACAUCUGCCAAAACUGUGCCCACACAUGAAGCUAAAGAUUAGACUAAAUGCCAUAUAAGUAUUCUAGUGAAGUGCUUUAUUAAUGAAGGGAGCGUGUGAUGUGAUCUCAUUGCAAUGUCAUGACAUCUCACCCAACGUAAUGCAGAGUCGACAGACUGGACAACUACACUGAAGUCCUGCAGUAACAGUCUGGACAAUCAGGACUAGCACUCAAGCCAAAUUAGCUUGAUGUCAGGUUAAGUAAAUGAACUGGUAAGAUCAUGCAAUCCCUAUUUGAGGUCCUGUUAUAUAACUGCUGAUCAGCUGAUCAAACUGCAAACUUGUUUUCUGAUUCACACACACACACAGAGUCAAUUGAGGAUUCUGCGCUCAAUAAUUAAUUUAUUUUUGGUUAUUUUUUCAUCUCUCUGUAGCAAAUCCAUCCAGACACAUUUCAAGCAGCUUUAUACAAUUCAUGUAAACAUUGUAAAAGACCAAGGGGGUUUAUCUCUCAAAGCAGCAUCUGUGGGCACCCCAGACUAGAGGACGCUCUUAAGCGUGUACACGCUGGGAUUGACCAAGGCUGCUUUAUGAGAGACCCCUCAGAGGUAAACCGUAAGUCACUGGUUGAUUCAUGUUAUGUGGCACUAUACAUCUCAACAACCACCACGGAGUCUUAUCACCGUGUCUCAACAUUGUGGUUGAAAGAGACCCUGGCUGGGAAAUAUACAAAUGGACAACACCAAAUUGUAAGGAGUAUGGUGAGGUAUGGAGACACACGUCAGGCUGAUGUGCCAGGAACUCUCACUGAGAUACAGGAAGUGUCAUCGUUCUGGAACUCUGCUGUUCAACUGUUGUGAUCAUGAACAUGAUGUUUGCUGUGCUUCUCCUCAUUUCAUAUACAAGAUUUUGUAAAUAUGUUGUUCAUUUGAGAUAGAAUUAAACCGAUUUUUGAAUAA
Molecule: RNA transcript, 4324 nt
Organism: Alosa sapidissima (American shad)
Lineage: Eukaryota; Metazoa; Chordata; Actinopteri; Clupeiformes; Clupeidae
Gene: glb1l
Gene name: galactosidase, beta 1-like
Exons: 18
Source: RefSeq, a predicted model, not a curated record